UAGAGUUUGAUCCUGGGCUCAGGACGAACGCUGGCGGCGCGCUUAACACAUGCGAGUCGAGCGAGAACCAACCCUUCGGGGUUGGGGACAGCGGCGAACGGGUGAGUAACACGUGAGUAAUCCACCCUUGGUACCGGGAUAGCUCGGGGAAACUCGAAUUAAUACCGGAUAGCCCAUUAGCCUCUCGAGGCGAAUGGAAAAGGUAGCUUCGGCCUCCGACCAAGGACGAGCUCGCGGCGGAUUAGCUUGUUGGCGGGGUAAUGGCCCACCAAGGCGACGAUCCGUAGCUGGUCUGAGAGGACGAUCAGCCACACUGGGACUGAGACACGGCCCAGACUCCUACGGGAGGCAGCAGUGGGGAAUCUUGCGCAAUGGGCGAAAGCCUGACGCAUCGACGCCGCGUGAGGGAAGAAGGCCUUCGGGUUGUAAACCUCUUUCAGGAGGGACGAAGCCACUCGGGUUAAUAGCCCAGAGGGUGACGGUACCUCCAGAAGAAGCCCCGGCUAACUACGUGCCAGCAGCCGCGGUAAUACGUAGGGGGCAAGCGUUGUCCGGAUGUAUUGGGCGUAAAGAGCGUGUAGGCGGUUUUACAGGUCCGCUGUGAAAACUCGAGGCUCAACCUCGAGCUGUCGGUGGAAACCGUAAGGCUAGAGUCCGGAAGAGGAGAGUGGAAUUCCUGGUGUAGCGGUGAAAUGCGCAGAUAUCAGGAAGACACCCGUGGCGAUGCGGCUCUCUGGGACGUACUGACGCUGAGACGCGAGAGCGUGGGGAGCGAACAGGAUUAGAUACCCUGGCAGUCCCCCGCCGUAAACGAUGGGUGCUAGUGGUGGGGGGUGUCGACUCCCCCCC
This 849-nucleotide ribosomal RNA is filed under the name uncultured soil bacterium. RNAcentral's name for it is "SSU rRNA". It matches the Rfam family "Bacterial small subunit ribosomal RNA", at positions 1 to 843 of the family's 1533-position model. The record is from RNAcentral.